Molecule: ribosomal RNA, 238 nt
Filed under: uncultured bacterium
Lineage: Bacteria
Description: partial 16S ribosomal RNA
Rfam family: Bacterial small subunit ribosomal RNA
Source: RNAcentral
UGGCGAACGGGUGAGUAACGCGUGGGUAACCUGCCUUAUACAGGGGGAUAACAACCAGAAAUGGUUGCUAAUACCGCAUAAGCGCACAGGACCGCAUGGUCCGGUGUGAAAAACUCCGGUGGUAUAAGAUGGACCCGCGUUGGAUUAGCUAGUUGGCAGGGCAACGGCCUACCAAGGCGACGAUCCAUAGCCGGCCUGAGAGGGUGAACGGCCACAUUGGGACUGAGACACGGCCCAG